This 253-nucleotide ribosomal RNA is filed under the name uncultured Rikenellaceae bacterium. RNAcentral's name for it is "partial 16S ribosomal RNA". It matches the Rfam family "Bacterial small subunit ribosomal RNA", at positions 524 to 776 of the family's 1533-position model. Lineage: Bacteria; Pseudomonadati; Bacteroidota; Bacteroidia; Bacteroidales; Rikenellaceae. The record is from RNAcentral.
UACGGAGGAUGCGAGCGUUAUCCGGAUUUAUUGGGUUUAAAGGGUGCGUAGGCGGUUUUAUAAGUUAGAGGUGAAAUCUCGGGGCUCAACUCCGAAAUUGCCUCUAAUACUGUAGGACUAGAGAGUAGUUGCGGAAGGCGGAAUGUGUGGUGUAGCGGUGAAAUGCUUAGAUAUCACACAGAACACCGAUUGCGAAGGCAGCUUUCCAAGCUAUUACUGACGCUGAGGCACGAAAGCGUGGGGAGCGAACAGG